CCCUUAGAUGUUCUGGGCGGCCCGCGCACUACAAUGGCGCUUUCAGCGAGUUCCUAUGUUGAAUUUUCCUUGGUAUUCUUGGAAGCGGCGUCUUGACUUGGGAUAGAUCCUUGUAAUUGGUGGUUUUGAACGAGGAAUUCCUUGUAAUCGCGGUUGAUCAGCUCGCGUUGAAUACGUCCCUGCCCUUUGUACACACCGCCCGUCGCUCCUACCGAUGAAUCGUCCGGUGAAGUUCACAGAGUGGCGGUUCGUGGAGUUGCUCGCGAAGUGAAAUGGACCUCACGAUUUAGAGGAAGGAGAAGUCGUAACA
Molecule: ribosomal RNA, 310 nt
Filed under: uncultured eukaryote
Lineage: Eukaryota
Description: partial 18S ribosomal RNA
Rfam family: Eukaryotic small subunit ribosomal RNA
Source: RNAcentral